RNAcentral lists this ribosomal RNA (496 nucleotides) under uncultured bacterium. Its description in RNAcentral is "partial 16S ribosomal RNA". It matches the Rfam family "Bacterial small subunit ribosomal RNA", at positions 28 to 507 of the family's 1533-position model. The record is from RNAcentral.
GAUGAACGCUGGCGGCGUGCCUAAUACAUGCAAGUCGAGCGAACAGACGAGGAGCUUGCUCCUCUGACGUUAGCGGCGGACGGGUGAGUAACACGUGGAUAACCUACCUAUAAGACUGGGAUAACUUCGGGAAACCGGAGCUAAUACCGGAUAAUAUAUUGAACCGCAUGGUUCAAUAGUGAAAGACGGUUUUGCUGUCACUUUAGAUGGAUCCGCGCCGCAUUAGCUAGUUGGUAAGGUAACGGCUUACCAAGGCAACGAUGCGUAGCCGACCUGAGAGGGUGAUCGGCCACACUGGAACUGAGACACGGUCCAGACUCCUACGGGAGGCAGCAGUAGGGAAUCUUCCGCAAUGGGCGAAAGCCUGACGGAGCAACGCCGCGUGAGUGAUGAAGGUCUUCGGAUCGUAAAACUCUGUUAUUUGGGAAGAACAAAUGUGUAAGUAACUAUGCACGUCUUGACGGUACCUAAUCAGAAAGCCACGGCUAACUACGUG